This 464-nucleotide ribosomal RNA is filed under the name uncultured Bacillota bacterium. Its description in RNAcentral is "bacterial SSU rRNA". It matches the Rfam family "Bacterial small subunit ribosomal RNA", at positions 338 to 795 of the family's 1533-position model. The record is from RNAcentral. Lineage: Bacteria; Bacillati; Bacillota.
CCUACGGGGGGCUGCAGUAGGGAGUUUUCGGCAAUGGGGGAAACCCUGACCGAGCAACGCCGCGUGAGUGAUGAAGGUCUUCGGAUUGUAAAGCUCUGUUAUAAGGGAAGAACGGCAGCUAGAGGAAAUGCUAGCUGUUUGACGGUACUUUAUGAGAAAGCCACGGCUAACUACGUGCCAGCAGCCGCGGUAAUACGUAGGUGGCAAGCGUUAUCCGGAAUUAUUGGGCGUAAAGAGUGAGCAGGCGGCAGUUUAAGUUUGGAGUCAAAGCGAGGGGCUCAACCCCUUAACGCUCUGAAAACUGAACAGCUAGAGUGCGAGAGAGGUAAGUGGAAUUCCAUGUGUAGCGGUGAAAUGCGUAGAUAUAUGGAGGAACACCAGUGGCGAAGGCGACUUACUAGCUCGAUACUGACGCUCAGUCACGAAAGCGUGGGUAGCAAAUAGGAUUAGAUACCCCUGUAGUC